RNAcentral lists this long non-coding RNA (353 nucleotides) under Elaeis guineensis (African oil palm). RNAcentral's name for it is "long non-coding RNA (EGUI_LNC074705)". The record is from RNAcentral. Lineage: Eukaryota; Viridiplantae; Streptophyta; Magnoliopsida; Arecales; Arecaceae.
ACAUGAGCAAAGUCAAAGGUCCGGUUCUUUUAGACCGGAUGGGGGGAGAGGCCGAACAGCGCCCACAUGCGCCCCCACAGCCUUGCUAGGGACAGGAGGAGAACCUCACCCUAACAUGAGCAAAGUCGAAGGCCCGGUUCUUCUUAGACUGGAUGGGGGGAGAGGCCGAACAGCGCCCACAUACGCCCCCAUAGCCUUGUUAGAGACAGGAGGAGAACCUCGCCCUAACAUGAGCAAAGUCGAAGGCCCGGUUCUUUUAGACCGGGUGGGGGGAGAGGCCCUUGCAACGACCUUUAUGUGCCCCCACAGCCCCGUUGGGGACAGGAUGAGAACCUCGUCCUAACCUAAGCUGA